GGAGCGUAGGCCGUCUGUUAAGCGUGUUGUGAAAUGUAGAUGCUCAACAUCUGAAUUGCAGCGCGAACUGGCAGACUUGAGUGUGCGCAACGUAGGCGGAAUUCGUGGUGUAGCGGUGAAAUGCUUAGAUAUCACGAAGAACUCCGAUUGCGAAGGCAGCUUACGGGAGCACAACUGACGCUGAAGCUCGAAAGUGCGGGUAUCGAACAGGAUUAGAUACCCUGGUAGUCCGCACGGUAAACGAUGGAUGCCCGCUGUUGACCCACCUGGGCCAGCGGCCAAGCGAAAGCAUUAAGCAUCCCACCUGGGGAGUACGCCGGCAACGGUGAAACUCAAAGGAAUUGACGGGGGCCCGCACAAGCGGAGGAACAUGUGGUUUAAUUCGAUGAUACGCGAGGAACCUUACCCGGGCUUGAAUUGCAGAGGAAAGAUCCAGAGAUGGUGAUGCCCUUCGGGGCCUCUGUGAAGGUGCUGCAUGGUUGUCGUCAGCUCGUGCCGUGAGGUGUCGGCUUAAGUGCCAUAACGAGCGCAACCCCUUUCUUUAGUUGCCAUCAGGUGAUGCUGGGCACUCUGGAGAUACUGCCACCGUAAGGUGUGAGGAAGGUGGGGAUGACGU
RNAcentral lists this ribosomal RNA (616 nucleotides) under uncultured bacterium. RNAcentral's name for it is "bacterial SSU rRNA". It matches the Rfam family "Bacterial small subunit ribosomal RNA", at positions 566 to 1185 of the family's 1533-position model. The record is from RNAcentral.